This is an unclassified non-coding RNA of Homo sapiens (human), 223 nucleotides long. The record is from Ensembl. Lineage: Eukaryota; Metazoa; Chordata; Mammalia; Primates; Hominidae.
ACUGUUAGCAGAUAGGAGUGAGGAGUUUAGAACAGCUGGUCACUAUGCCGACCGGGUUUCUGCGUUAAGUUCGGCAUCAAAACGGUGACCUGGGAGUAGAGGGGCCACCAGGUUGCCUAAGGAUGGGUGAACUGGCCCAAGUCAGAAAUGAAGCAGGUCAGAACUCCCCUGCCGGGCAGUAGUGGAACUGAGCUUGGGCAACAUAGUGCGACUUUGGUUCUCA